RNAcentral lists this ribosomal RNA (494 nucleotides) under uncultured bacterium. Its description in RNAcentral is "partial 16S ribosomal RNA". It matches the Rfam family "Bacterial small subunit ribosomal RNA", at positions 28 to 506 of the family's 1533-position model. The record is from RNAcentral.
GACGAACGCUGGCGGCGUGCCUAAUACAUGCAAGUAGAACGCUGAAGGAGGAGCUUGCUUCUCUGGAUGAGUUGCGAACGGGUGAGUAACGCGUAGGUAACCUGCCUGGUAGCGGGGGAUAACUAUUGGAAACGAUAGCUAAUACCGCAUAAGAGUAGAUGUUGCAUGACAUUUGCUUAAAAGGUGCAAUUGCAUCACUACCAGAUGGACCUGCGUUGUAUUAGCUAGUUGGUGGGGUAACGGCUCACCAAGGCGACGAUACAUAGCCGACCUGAGAGGGUGAUCGGCCACACUGGGACUGAGACACGGCCCAGACUCCUACGGGAGGCAGCAGUAGGGAAUCUUCGGCAAUGGAUGGAAGUCUGACCGAGCAACGCCGCGUGAGUGAAGAAGGUUUUCGGAUCGUAAAGCUCUGUUGUAAGAGAAGAACGAGUGUGAGAGUGGAAAGUUCACACUGUGACGGUAUCUUACCAGAAAGGGACGGCUAACUACGU